AUCGCUUCUCGGCCUUUUGGCUAAGAUCAAAGUUUAGUUUCUGUUCUUAUCGAAUUAACCUUCGAUAGAGAUUCGAAUGAGUGCUUUGUCAAGAUACAUAUUGUACACGGAAAUAUUU
This 118-nucleotide small nuclear RNA is filed under the name Haemonchus placei. RNAcentral's name for it is "U2 spliceosomal RNA". It matches the Rfam family "U2 spliceosomal RNA". Rfam says of the family: U2 is a small nuclear RNA (snRNA) component of the spliceosome (involved in pre-mRNA splicing). Complementary binding between U2 snRNA (in an area lying towards the 5' end but 3' to hairpin I) and the branchpoint sequence (BPS) of the intron results the bulging out of an unpaired adenosine, on the BPS, which initiates a nucleophilic attack at the intronic 5' splice site, thus starting the first of two transesterification reactions that mediate splicing. The record is from Rfam by way of RNAcentral. Lineage: Eukaryota; Metazoa; Nematoda; Chromadorea; Rhabditida; Trichostrongylidae.